RNAcentral lists this long non-coding RNA (1087 nucleotides) under Marmota monax (woodchuck). The record is from RNAcentral. Lineage: Eukaryota; Metazoa; Chordata; Mammalia; Rodentia; Sciuridae.
AUGCAGCUCUGUGCUGCAAGGUCUGCAGAGACCUAGCCACCUUCCUCAUCUCUAUAAGGUCAUCCUUUGGUUUCCUUGGCCCAAAAUGACUCCCCAGUCUUCAUACCCAUGUUCUAAGUGGCAAGAAGAAGGAAAGAAUGACUCUUCCGCUAACACCCUUUGACUAAAACUUACUCACAUAACUGCACCCAUCCAAAGAAGAGGCUAGAAAAUGAAGGUUUUAUUCUGGCCAACUAUGAACCGACUAAAUAUGCUAUUCCUUUAGGUGGAGGUGAGAAUGGGCUUUGGAGAAACAGCCAUUGGCUGGGGCACAUGUCUGCCAUUUAAUCCUGGUUACAGGGUAAGUGUGCAACAAUCAUUCACCUUCAUCCUCCAUCUACACACACUUCACUCAUUUAAAGACCAGCAUGGAUUCCCAGAACAAGUUCUCUCAGCGCUGAGGUUCCUGGGUUUCACUGUUCUGGGUCACAGUCCCUGUGCUUGUGGGUCAAGGGGCACUCAAGGAAGCAUCCCGCCCAAGCGCCUCACCUAGUGCUUUUAAAUUAUUUGAAGAUCAACAAAAUUAUGUUAUUGCUAUAAUAUGGGACAUGCACUCUUUGGAAUGAUAUUUUGGAAUGAAAAUAUCUGUGGUUUUCAUGGUUUAAAACAGAGUCUCAUCUUCCAGUGGAAAAGGGAGUUCAACAUGCAGGUUAAAGAACACCUGAUAGAAAUGUUGUAUCAGAAUAAAUUAUGUUGUAGAAUUAUAUGAAAAACCGCACGAAAGAUAGAGUGUUUGAAGACGCAGAUGUCAACACAGGGCUUGCCCCUUGAGUUACUUUGAAACAACUGAGACACUAAGUUCAUAUGUCACCAGAAUGGGGUGUGCUUGUAUGUUGUGAAUCAGAAACUUCAGAGCAAAUAUGAAACUUGAGAGCCAGGUGAGAGUAUUUCCAAGUCCAUUUUAUACAGCAAAGCCAGGAGAAGAGUAAAUGGGAAAAGCAUAGGGCACGCAAUUUAAGGAGACAUCUCUCUCAGGGUUGAGGAAAAUAAUUGCAAAAAACAGGAAAAUUUAGUUAAUACUAUGGAAACAUGGCUAACAUGAGUCAGG